Molecule: ribosomal RNA, 140 nt
Filed under: uncultured Hydrogenothermus sp.
Lineage: Bacteria; Pseudomonadati; Aquificota; Aquificia; Aquificales; Hydrogenothermaceae
Description: partial 16S ribosomal RNA
Rfam family: Bacterial small subunit ribosomal RNA
Source: RNAcentral
CUCGCCGCGGUGGGUGGAAGGAAGCCCUUCGGGGUGUAAACACCUGUCAGUGGGGAAGAUAAUGACGGUACCCACAGAGGAAGGGACGGCUAACUACGUGCCAGCAGCCGCGGUAAUACGUAGGUCCCGAACGUUGCGCG